RNAcentral lists this ribosomal RNA (492 nucleotides) under uncultured bacterium. RNAcentral's name for it is "partial 16S ribosomal RNA". It matches the Rfam family "Bacterial small subunit ribosomal RNA", at positions 29 to 507 of the family's 1533-position model. The record is from RNAcentral.
AGUGAACGCUGGCGGUAGGCCUAACACAUGCAAGUCGAACGGCAGCACAGUAAGAGCUUGCUCUUACGGGUGGCGAGUGGCGGACGAGUGAGGAAUACAUCGGAAUCUACUUUUUCGUGGGGGAUAACGUAGGGAAACUUACGCUAAUACCGCAUACGACCUACGGGUGAAAGCAGGGGAUCUUCGGACCUUGCGCGAUUGAAUGAGCCGAUGUCGGAUUAGCUAGUUGGCGGGGUAAAGGCCCACCAAGGCGACGAUCCGUAGCUGGUCUGAGAGGAUGAUCAGCCACACUGGAACUGAGACACGGUCCAGACUCCUACGGGAGGCAGCAGUGGGGAAUAUUGGACAAUGGGCGCAAGCCUGAUACAGCCAUACCGCGUGGGUGAAGAAGGCCUUCGGGUUGUAAAGCCCUUUUGUUGGGAAAGAAAAGCAGCAGGUUAAUACCCCGCUGUUCUGACGGUACCCAAAGAAUAAGCACCGGCUAACUUCGUG